GACCAGGCCUGGAGGCACGAAUGUGUCUGGAUUUACAAGAAUGUACUGAGUUAAUUUUGUCAGCUGCGCGUUAUUUUCCUUCUUCCUCCUUUUUGGACGUCGACCCAUCCUCCGUGUUUAGAGAAAGAAAUCAAAUAAGUUCCUCGUAGAAUUUUACCUCCAUUGUGCCUUUGACCAUCACUGAUAACCCUGUGAGGCAGGUAGCAUUAUCACCGCAGCAGAGCACAGGAAAGGAAAGCUCAGAGAAGGUGACAUUCGCAGUCCAGGCAUGCGCCACAGUGGCUGAGGGAUCUCCCCGCUGCAGAGAAGAGAAAUGCAACAUCGCUGGCCAGGGUGCAGGAAACCGAAUGUGAUGGCUUCAAAGAGGAGGAAGGAAGCCAAAGUGAGGAAGAAGAGGGGAUGAAGAUUCAAAGUAUAGGUGGCCAUAGGGAAGGGCAGGAGAGAUGACUCCGGCCUUGGAGGCAGAGCCAGGGAAGAGGAAACACACAAAUGAAAGAAAGAAAGCCACAGCAAAGAAGCCACCUCAGCGUCUUGACUUUCCAGCAACUCCGGGUGCCCCACAACACAUGGCACGGAGCCCACUGGGUGUUCCCAGUGCUUUUCAGAACCCACCCCAAAACAGCGAGGGUCUCCAACCAGGGAAAGAAGAAUUAAAGCUGCCAAGACCCCAUUUUGUUUUUCCAUAAAUAUCCAA
Long non-coding RNA from Piliocolobus tephrosceles (Ugandan red Colobus), 694 nucleotides. RefSeq lists it as uncharacterized. The record is from RefSeq and is a predicted model, not a curated record. The transcript is spliced from 3 exons. Lineage: Eukaryota; Metazoa; Chordata; Mammalia; Primates; Cercopithecidae.